RNAcentral lists this ribosomal RNA (256 nucleotides) under uncultured bacterium. Its description in RNAcentral is "partial 16S ribosomal RNA". It matches the Rfam family "Bacterial small subunit ribosomal RNA", at positions 524 to 776 of the family's 1533-position model. The record is from RNAcentral.
GACAUAGGUGGCAAACGUUAUCCGGAAUUAUUGGGCGUAAAGGGUGCGUAGAUGGUAUGAUAAGUUAGCGGUGGGAAAUCGGGGCUCAACCCCGUGGAAGCUGAUAAUACUAUCGUGCUAGAGUGUAGGAGAGGUUAACGGAACUCCCCGUGGAGCGGUGAAAUGCAUAGAUAUGGGGAAGAACACCAAUAAUAGCGAAGGCAGUUAACUAUUCUACUACUGACAUUGAGGCACGAAAGCGUGGGGAGCAAAAAGG